This 222-nucleotide ribosomal RNA is filed under the name uncultured bacterium. RNAcentral describes it as "partial 16S ribosomal RNA". It matches the Rfam family "Bacterial small subunit ribosomal RNA", at positions 114 to 334 of the family's 1533-position model. The record is from RNAcentral.
CGCGUGAGGAACCUGCCUCAAAGAGGGGGACAACAGUUGGAAACGACUGCUAAUACCGCAUAAGCCCACAGGUCGGCAUCGACCAGAGGGAAAAGGAGCAAUCCGCUUUGAGAUGGCCUCGCGUCCGAUUAGCUAGUUGGUGAGGUAAUGGCCCACCAAGGCGACGAUCGGUAGCCGGACUGAGAGGUUGAACGGCCACAUUGGGACUGAGACACGGCCCAG